Molecule: ribosomal RNA, 44 nt
Filed under: Lasiodiplodia theobromae
Lineage: Eukaryota; Fungi; Ascomycota; Dothideomycetes; Botryosphaeriales; Botryosphaeriaceae
Description: partial 28S ribosomal RNA
Source: RNAcentral
UUGACCUCGGAUCAGGUAGGGAUACCCGCUGAACUUAAGCUAUC